GACGAACGCUGGCGGCGUGCCUAAUACAUGCCAGUAGAACGCUGAAGAGAGGAGCUUGCUCUUCUUGGAUGAGUUGCGAACGGGUGAGUAACGCGUAGGUAACCUGCCUGGUAGCGGGGGAUAACUAUUGGAAACGAUAGCUAAUACCGCAUAAAAUGGAUUAUCGCAUGAUAAUCCAUUGAAAGGUGCAAAUGCAUCACUACCAGAUGGACCUGCGUUGUAUUAGCUAGUUGGUGGGGUAACGGCUCACCAAGGCGACGAUACAUAGCCGACCUGAGAGGGUGAUCGGCCACACUGGGACUGAGACACGGCCCAGACUCCUACGGGAGGCAGCAGUAGGGAAUCUUCGGCAAUGGACGGAAGUCUGACCGAGCAACGCCGCGUGAGUGAAGAAGGUUUUCGGAUCGUAAAGCUCUGUUGUAAGAGAAGAACGAGUGUGAGAGUGGAAAGUUCACACUGUGACGGUAUCUUACCAGAAAGGGACGGCUAACUACGCG
Molecule: ribosomal RNA, 497 nt
Filed under: uncultured bacterium
Lineage: Bacteria
Description: partial 16S ribosomal RNA
Rfam family: Bacterial small subunit ribosomal RNA
Source: RNAcentral